RNAcentral lists this long non-coding RNA (1089 nucleotides) under Apteryx rowi (Okarito brown kiwi). RNAcentral describes it as "lncRNA (ENSARWG00000000157.1)". The record is from RNAcentral. Lineage: Eukaryota; Metazoa; Chordata; Aves; Apterygiformes; Apterygidae.
AUGCACCGAGCCGCGGGGUGCGCAGCGAUCCGGGGUACCGGGGACCCAGGGAACAGCGUAUUGGGGUGCGCCGGGUGGUGGGGGGCAAAGGAACCAGGAGCGCGUGGUGCAUCGAGGUGCACAGUGCAUCGGGGUGCACGGCAAACCGGGGUGCACAGGGGCUUGGGUAUGCCAUAUAGCGAGGUACAUGGGGGGCCGGGGUGCAUGGGGAGCAGUGUGCACGGUAUAUCGGGGUGCAGGGGGAUCCAGGGCGCAGGGGGACCCGUGUGGACACAGUGCUGGGGUGCAGGGGGAGCAGCGUGCAGGGUGUUUGGGGGUGCAGGGGGAUCCGGGGCACAGGGGGACCCGUGUGGACACAGUGCUGGGGCACAGGGGGAGCAGUGUGCAGGGUGUUUGGGGGUGCAGGGGGAUCCGGGGUGCACGGGGACCCGUGUGGACACAGUGCCGGGGCACCGGGGGAGCAGUGUGCAGGGUGUUUGGGGGUGCAGGGGGAUCCGGGGCGCACAAGGACCCGUGUGGACACGGUGCUGGGGUGCAUGGGGAGCAGUAUGCAGGGUGUUUGGGGGUGCAGGGGGAUCCGGGGCACACGGGGACCCGUGUGUACACGGUGCUGGGGUACAUGGGGAGCAGCGUGCAGGGUGUUUGGGGGUGCAGGGCGCACAGGGACCCCUGUGGACACCAUUUUGGGGUGCACGGGGAGCCCCAGUGUCCCAGCAGCUCACGCAGCCCUGCCGCCUCCAGCAGCAGCAGCAGCRAGGGCCGAGCCGCAGGGCGUUACCGCACGCACAGACCUUUCCCCGCUCGCGAGGACGAAACCCCCCGGACACACCAGACCAGCGGCUCCCGUCUUUUUCCAGCCGAUUCCUUUGGCAGGAGCCCAGCCGCCCGCGCAGGAACGACCCAAACGCCUCCUCGCUAAGACAAACCCAUUUAAUACAGGGACAAAACAAGCUAUUUUGUAACAGCCGCCUCCCCGGGGAGAUGCCAUCUCCCAGAACAUUCAUUUCUUUUAUACAUUUAUAUACAUUCGGCUCAUGCCAAAACAUCGCGACCCACCGGAGAUUAAAAAAAAAAAAACAACAAACCUGA